GUAAGAUAUGUUUUGGGCCCUCGCCUUAGAACACCAGGUUUAAAAUAAGGAAGAGGAAGACCUUGAUUUGGUUUCCAAGGUUGAAAAUGGUAUUGUAUUUUUUUUAAUAGUCUGAUUUUUAUUUAAACCAUUACUCAGUGAAACCUCAAGGUCCAAGAGUUUAUAUAUGUCCCCACAGCCUUGUAGCUUUAGUCGAAAGGAGGUCACAUGCUAUGCAGGGUGUCUUCCAGCCUAUUUUUUCACAAGACAGAUCUGGGGUACAGCAGCAUCUGAACAUUUACGUGUCAAGUGUGUAAAUGCUUUGGAAGCCUCAAAGGAAAAGUUCCUGACGCACCUGGCAAGCCUGGAACCUGAUCUCUCCUUCCUCACUGCUCACACCGCCCUGACACGGCGCACAGGGGGAGGCUGAGAAAGGAAGAAAACAAAAACCCACUGCUUGAGAAUUUAGAGUACAGAGUAUGCACAUUCAAGUAACGAUCAACAGAGCUGGCACAUAGUUCCAGGAGCCAACCUUGGGCUUUCUCAAAGGACCUAAGUAUACAAACUGGCGUUUACCGCAUAGCAUUUGGUGAGAAGCAUUUAACCAUAUCAACCCAAAUUUUUGUGCUUAGAAGUUACUCAAGAAUGAUAUUUGACUUUUCUUCAAACCCAUUCAACCUGAAAGAUUUCCAAGCAUGUCACACAUCACAUUUAGCUACUUUUGCUGUGAAGGGCUUUCAGCCAACUGGCUCAUGUUCAUUGCCUAGAGAAGCAGAGGAAGAGAAAUUUUUAGCAAAUAGCGACUGCAUUUGCCUCCAGACUUGUCAGACACAGUGAGCCGCUCAAGCAAACAGGAUCUGGCAGGAUCCUCCAAGCUGCUGGGCCCAGGCUGUGGCAUGAUGGCCGGAGGCAAGCAACACCUGGACUUCUAGCGAUCCCUCCUUCGUCGUCGCAUGCAGAAUUAUAGGACACCCUAAUUAUGAUUGCUAAUAGCUUCUGUAAAUAUUUUUCUUAACGAUUUGACCUUCCCAUCCUUGAAAAACAGUUAGGAUUGCAAAAUGAGGCCACCACUCUUCAUUUUCCUUACCCAAAUUUUUAUGCAGAAAGAGUACAGCAAAACUACUUUCAUUUUAAAAUUUUGUUUUAUGCUAUAUUUAGAGAAAGCAAAUAAUUUUAUUUUUAAAUAAAAUGUCAGAAACUCAAAAUGCCUCACAGUGGUCAUGAGUGUACGUGUGUUAAGGCACUUCAUUCAUGGUUCAGUGCAUAUUACAACACAUAGUGUAAAAAAACAGCGUGAAAUUCAUAAUUGUAUAUAAAAAACAUUUUCUCUUGAUUUCUGAAAAAGUCACUUGCCACCAAAAAAGUGCUAAGGCUUUUGUAAAAUGAAAGACUCAUUUGCUAAUAUGUGUGAAGACUAUAAUAAAAUGAAUUUGCAUUUAU
This is a long non-coding RNA of Lontra canadensis (Northern American river otter), 1419 nucleotides long. RefSeq lists it as uncharacterized. The record is from RefSeq and is a predicted model, not a curated record. The transcript has 2 exons. NCBI's taxonomy places the organism in Eukaryota, Metazoa, Chordata, Mammalia, Carnivora, Mustelidae.